Molecule: ribosomal RNA, 428 nt
Filed under: uncultured bacterium
Lineage: Bacteria
Description: partial 16S ribosomal RNA
Rfam family: Bacterial small subunit ribosomal RNA
Source: RNAcentral
GUGGGGAAUCUUGCGCAAUGGACGAAAGUCUGACGCAGCGACGCCGCGUGAGUGAUGAAGGCCUUAGGGUCGUAAAGCUCUGUUGAAUGGGAAGAAAAAAAUGACGGUACCAUUCGAGGAAGGACCGGCUAACUUCGUGCCAGCAGCCGCGGUAAUACGAGGGGUCCUAGCGUUGUUCGGAAUCAUUGGGCGUAAAGGGUGUGUAGGUGGCCAUGUAAGUCAGGUGUGAAAGCCCCGGGCUCAACCCGGGAAGUGCACUUGAUACUGCGUGGCUUGAGUACCGAAGAGGGUAGUGGAAUUCCAGGUGUAGUGGUGAAAUACGUAGAUAUCUGGAGGAACACCGGUGGCGAAGGCGGCUACCUGGUCGAGUACUGACACUGAGACACGAAAGCAUGGGGAGCAAACAGGAUUAGAUACCCGUGUAGUCC